Molecule: ribosomal RNA, 253 nt
Filed under: uncultured bacterium
Lineage: Bacteria
Description: partial 16S ribosomal RNA
Rfam family: Bacterial small subunit ribosomal RNA
Source: RNAcentral
UACAGGGGGGGCAAGCGUUGUUCGGAAUUACUGGGCGUAAAGGGUCUGUAGGUGGCCAACUAAGUCAGACGUGAAAUCCCUCAGCUUAACUGGGGAACUGCGUCUGAUACUGGAUGGCUUGAGUGUGGGAGAGGAAUGCGGAAUUCCAGGUGUAGCGGUGAAAUGCGUAGAUAUCCGGAGGAACACCGGUGGCGAAGGCGGCUUCCUGGACCGACACUGACACUGAGGAGCGAAAGCCAGGGGAGCAAACGGG